Molecule: ribosomal RNA, 253 nt
Filed under: uncultured bacterium
Lineage: Bacteria
Description: partial 16S ribosomal RNA
Rfam family: Bacterial small subunit ribosomal RNA
Source: RNAcentral
UACGUAGGGGGCAAGCGUUGUCCGGAAUCAUUGGGCGUAAAGAGCGUGUAGGCGGCCCGGUAAGUCCGCUGUGAAAGUCGGGGGCUCAACCCUCGAAUGCCGGCGGAUACUGUCGGGCUAGAGUCCGGAAGAGGCGAGUGGAAUUCCUGGUGUAGCGGUGAAAUGCGCAGAUAUCAGGAGGAACACCGAUGGCGAAGGCAGGUCUCUGGGCCACUACUGACGCUGAGAAGCGAAAGCAUGGGGAGCGAACAGG